Molecule: ribosomal RNA, 497 nt
Filed under: uncultured bacterium
Lineage: Bacteria
Description: partial 16S ribosomal RNA
Rfam family: Bacterial small subunit ribosomal RNA
Source: RNAcentral
GAUGAACGCUGGCGGCGUGCCUAAUACAUGCAAGUCGAGCGAACAGACGAGGAGCUUGCUCCUCUGACGUUAGCGGCGGACGGGUGAGUAACACGUGGAUAACCUACCUAUAAGACUGGGAUAACUUCGGGAAACCGGAGCUAAUACCGGAUAAUAUAUUGAACCGCAUGGUUCAAUAGUGAAAGACGGUUUUGCUGUCACUUAUAGAUGGAUCCGCGCCGCAUUAGCUAGUUGGUAAGGUAACGGCUUACCAAGGCAACGAUGCGUAGCCGACCUGAGAGGGUGAUCGGCCACACUGGAACUGAGACACGGUCCAGACUCCUACGGGAGGCAGCAGUAGGGAAUCUUCCGCAAUGGGCGAAAGCCUGACGGAGCCACGCCGCGUGAGUGAUGAAGGUCUUCGGAUCGUAAAACUCUGUUAUUAGGGAAGAACAAAUGUGUAAGUAACUAUGGACGUCUUGACGGUACCUAAUCAGAAAGCAACGGCUAACUACGUG